This is a long non-coding RNA of Carassius auratus (goldfish), 266 nucleotides long. RefSeq lists it as uncharacterized. The transcript has 4 exons. The record is from RefSeq and is a predicted model, not a curated record. Lineage: Eukaryota; Metazoa; Chordata; Actinopteri; Cypriniformes; Cyprinidae.
AAAUGCUGAAUUGAAUUCCUCUGUAGAAGCGACACUGGCAAUAACUUCAUGAGGCCAACCAGAAAACCAAACAGAUUCGAAGACAGCAGCGAUGCAGAAGAAUGAAACACUGGUUUGUAACAACUUGAAGACGAGUGGGGAAGAGACACCUGGAUGCCUAACUUAAAGAGAAAGCAUCCAAAUGAACCCUUUCCUCGCCUCAGGGCAACAGCUGUGAGAAAAAUGCCAAACAAAGGUAUAAUAUUUUUCCAAUACUUGCCUCUACG